AUGCUUUGCUUUGUGGGCUCUGUGGCUCAGAGAAGGCAGGCAUGCAUCCCUGAUAAAUAGCAUUGAUAUAAGGCACCAAGGAAUCCUAUGGAAAUUUCUCCAUCAGCAUAUUUUUAGGCUGAAACAAGUGUUUCAUGGGUGAUUGGCACAUCCCCCUUUAUUCCAGAAGGCUGACUACAGGAAAAUUCUCUCAAACUGGGUAACAAGGCGGAACACAGAGAAAUCAGUAUUGGCUGGAAGAGCUCCUGUAGGAAGCAAUUUGAUCAAAAAAUAAGUGUGCCUGCUUUGCUGGUAUAGAGAGAAUACACUUGCUGCAGACAUUUGGAAGCAAAUGGAAAUAAUUGGAGGGAAUGACCAGAUCCACAGGCUAAUUAUGACUUUCUCUUGUCUGCACCUUUUAAAAAUGUACUAUUAGGCUCUGUUGCUAACUUUUGAAUGUCUGGGUUCUGGAUGAUAAGGUCAAAAUUGGCUUUGACUUUAUCACUGGAACAGCCUAUCCCUUGUAUUUUAGUGCUUAACCGUUGAGAUGAAUUUUGGAUCUUGGAUGUGUAUUAAA
Long non-coding RNA from Bos taurus (domestic cattle), 556 nucleotides. NCBI's taxonomy places the organism in Eukaryota, Metazoa, Chordata, Mammalia, Artiodactyla, Bovidae. The record is from Ensembl.